UACGGAGGAUGCGAGCGUUAUCCGGAUUUAUUGGGUUUAAAGGGUGCGUAGGCGGUCCGUUAAGUCAGCGGUAAAAUUGCGGGGCUCAACCCCGUCGAGCCGUUGAAACUGGCAGACUUGAGUUGGCGAGAAGUACGCGGAAUGCGCGGUGUAGCGGUGAAAUGCAUAGAUAUCGCGCAGAGCUCCGAUUGCGAAGGCAGCGUACCGGCGCCAGACUGACGCUGAGGCACGAAAGCGUGGGUAUCGAACAGG
RNAcentral lists this ribosomal RNA (252 nucleotides) under uncultured bacterium. Its description in RNAcentral is "partial 16S ribosomal RNA". It matches the Rfam family "Bacterial small subunit ribosomal RNA", at positions 524 to 776 of the family's 1533-position model. The record is from RNAcentral.